GACGUAGGGGGCCAGCGUUGCUCGGAAUUACUGGGCGUAAAGGGUCCGUAGGCGGUGCGGUAAGUCGGGUGUGAAAUCUCUGGGCUUAACUCAGAGGCUGCUUCCGAAACUACCGUGCUAGAGUGCGAGAGAGGCAAGUGGAAUUGCGGGUGUAGCGGUGAAAUGCGUAGAUAUCCGCAGGAACAUCCGAGGCGAAAGCGGCUUGCUGGAUCGCAACUGACGCUGAGGGACGAAAGCUAGGGGAGCAAACAGG
Molecule: ribosomal RNA, 253 nt
Filed under: uncultured bacterium
Lineage: Bacteria
Description: partial 16S ribosomal RNA
Rfam family: Bacterial small subunit ribosomal RNA
Source: RNAcentral